This 377-nucleotide ribosomal RNA is filed under the name uncultured cyanobacterium. RNAcentral's name for it is "bacterial SSU rRNA". It matches the Rfam family "Bacterial small subunit ribosomal RNA", at positions 521 to 896 of the family's 1533-position model. Lineage: Bacteria; Bacillati; Cyanobacteriota. The record is from RNAcentral.
UAAUACGGGAGUGGCAAGCGUUAUCCGGAAUUAUUGGGCGUAAAGCGUCCGCAGGCGGCCCUACAAGUCUGCUGUUAAAAAGUGGAGCUUAACUCCAUCAUGGCAGUGGAAACUGUUGGGCUUGAGUGUGGUAGGGGCAGAGGGAAUUCCCGGUGUAGCGGUGAAAUGCGUAGAUAUCGGGAAGAACACCAGUGGCGAAGGCGCUCUGCUGGGCCAUCACUGACGCUCAUGGACGAAAGCCAGGGGAGCGAAAGGGAUUAGAUACCCCUGUAGUCCUGGCCGUAAACGAUGAACACUAGGUGUCGGGGGAAUCGACCCCUCCGGUGUCGUAGCCAACGCGUUAAGUGUUCCGCCUGGGGAGUACGCACGCAAGUGUG